UGGGGAAUAUUGCACAAUGGAGGGAACUCUGAUGCAGCGACGCCGCGUGAACGAAGAAGGCUUUCGAGUCGUAAAGUUCUUUUAUAUGGGGAGAUAAUGACGGUACCAUAAGAAAAAGCCCCGGCUAACUACGUGCCAGCAGCCGCGGUAAUACGUAGGGGGCUAGCGUUGUCCGGAAUCACUGGGCGUAAAGGGUUCGCAGGCGGAAAUGCAAGUCAGGUGUAAAAGGCAGUAGCUUAACUACUGUAAGCAUUUGAAACUGCAUAUCUUGAGAAGAGUAGAGGUAAGUGGAAUUUUUAGUGUAGCGGUGAAAUGCGUAGAUAUUAAAAAGAAUACCGGUGGCGAAGGCGGCUUACUGGGCUCAUUCUGACGCUGAGGAACGAAAGCGUGGGUAGCAAACAGG
This 403-nucleotide ribosomal RNA is filed under the name bacterium. RNAcentral describes it as "partial 16S ribosomal RNA". It matches the Rfam family "Bacterial small subunit ribosomal RNA", at positions 355 to 776 of the family's 1533-position model. The record is from RNAcentral.